AUACGGAAGGUCCGGGCGUUAUCCGGAUUUAUUGGGUUUAAAGGGAGCGCAGGCGGAGAUGCAAGCGUGACGUCAAAUUUCGGGGCUCAACCCCGUCUCGCGUCGCGAACUGCGUCCCUUGGUUGCGGGAAGGGGAGGCGGAACUCGUGGUGUAGCGGGGAAAUGCAUAGAUAUCACGAAGAACUCCGAUCGCGAAGGCAGCCUUCCGGCCCGUCAACGACGCUCAUGCUCGAAGGUGCGGGUAUCAAACAGGAUUAGAUACCCUGGUAGUCCGCACAGUAAACGAUGGACACCCGCGGUUUGGCCUGUAUGGCUGAGCCGCCAAGCGAAAGCGUUAAGUGUCCCACCUGGGGAGUACGCCGGCAACGGUGAAACUCAAAGGAAUUGACGGG
Molecule: ribosomal RNA, 392 nt
Filed under: uncultured bacterium
Lineage: Bacteria
Description: partial 16S ribosomal RNA
Rfam family: Bacterial small subunit ribosomal RNA
Source: RNAcentral